CCCUCAGUGGUGGAGUGGUGCACACGCUUUUCGCUUAUUUCGAUGUUUACACUUUUCGGAAAAGUAAUAUGGGUUCGAUUCCCAUCUGAGGCA
This is a non-coding RNA of Gymnopus androsaceus JB14, 93 nucleotides long. Lineage: Eukaryota; Fungi; Basidiomycota; Agaricomycetes; Agaricales; Omphalotaceae. The record is from the annotation of a GenBank genome assembly.